Molecule: unclassified non-coding RNA, 229 nt
Filed under: plant metagenome
Description: partial contains small subunit ribosomal RNA, internal transcribed spacer 1, and 5.8S ribosomal RNA
Source: RNAcentral
UUUCCGUAGGUGAACCUGCGGAGGGAUCAUUACAGAGUUCAUGCCCUACCGGGUAGAUCUCCCACCCUAUGUUAUUAUUACUUUGUCGCUUUGGCGGGCCGUUAGGCUCCGGCCCGACUACCGGCCCCGGCUGGUAAGCGCCCGCCAGAGGACCCAAAACCCUGAAUAUUAGUGUCGUCUGAGUACUAUAUAAUAGUUAAAACUUUCAACAACGGAUCUCUUGGUUCUG